Molecule: long non-coding RNA, 989 nt
Filed under: Homo sapiens (human)
Lineage: Eukaryota; Metazoa; Chordata; Mammalia; Primates; Hominidae
Description: HSALNT0328697
Source: RNAcentral
AUAAAAAUAAUGCAUUGUAUGCCGGAAGGGAUAAAUCUGGGGCUGAGUACAAGCAAAACAAGACCAAAGGAAGCUACCUGAGCAGGUAUUCCAGAUACUCAUGUCAUACACCAAGGUUGUACCAGUGCCCCUUUCUCUGUGACACAUCCAUCCACUGGAAACUUUCGUACAACUAGCUGAAAGAAGAGAAACAUCCUAUUUCAUGUCACUGGAGCCCUAAUGAUCGCAGCCAUUUCAGGAAAUGCCAUCAAUUACAGUGAGGAGCUCAUUCAGAAGUGAAAGAUGAGUUCCAUUCUCUGUUACUUAGAGGACAAUAGAUUAUAUUGGAUGUAGAUGAAGUUUGGGCAGAAUCAGGGAUCAAUGGCUCCAUCUAAAUUGUUGCACCAAAACACAGACAUACACCUGCUUUUAGAUUUGAAGAGUGAAUCCUCUCUGGAAAAUGUAGCAACUACUCAAAAAAGGUUGGAGGACCAACACUUCUAAGAAGCAGGAGCUGGAGGGAGGAUGGCAUUUCAAGAGGUGGCAAGUGGUCCUUCUUCACAGUCAUAUCUCUCAUUCUGCAAGCCAAAGACUCAAUCUGCAUAAUAUUCCAUGGUGUAUAUAUACCACAUUCUUUUCCCAGUCAUCAAUCACUGGACGCUUAAGUUGAGUAAUGGCUUUUUAUUGAGGGUAUUACAAAGCUCAAAUCUGAGAAAACCUUGUCUACCAUCAACCCUGACCUACAGAGGAGAGGCACCCCCAAGCUUAUUAGUGAUCCUGUCUCCGUCUUAUUGGCACAUCCUGAUGGCCUUGAUCUCUAGUUCUUCCUGUGGAGCAUAACCAUAUGGUUCUUUGCCAAGAUGUUAAGACCAAAGUCGGAGAGUGAACCCCAUGUCAAUGAAUUCUUGUUUUUCUGAUCUUACAUUCCAUCACUUUGAUCCAGUACUCUCAAAAUGCAAUCACAGUUGUACAUGUCUUCUCCUGUCAAUAAACGCUACCUUAGUACUGCA